GACGAACGCUGGCGGCGUGGAUUAGGCAUGCAAGUCGAACGGUAUCAUCCUUUCGGGGGUGAGAGAGUGGCGAACUGGUGAGUAACACGUAGGUUAUCUACCCUCAAGACGGGGACAACCCAGGGAAACUUGGACUAAUACCGGAUGUGAGCAACUUUUAGUUGUUUGAAAGGUGGCGUAAGCUGUCGCUUGGGGAUGAGCCUGCGUCCUAUUAGUUAGUUGGUGAGGUAACGGCUCACCUAGGCAAUGAUAGGUAGGCGGCCUUAACGGGUGGUCGCCCACACUGGGAUUGAGAUACGGCCCAGACUCCUACGGGAGGCAGCAGUCGAGAAUAGUCUACAAUGGUCGGAAGACUGAUAGUGCGACGCCGCGUGAACGAUGAAUCCCUUCGGGGUUAAAGUUCUUUUAUAUGUGAGCAGUGCUUCUUAUAUUAACAGUAUGGGGAAGAGAUAUUAGCAUAUGAAUAAGCAACGGCUAACUCCGUGCCAGCAGCCGGGUAAA
This 501-nucleotide ribosomal RNA is filed under the name uncultured bacterium. RNAcentral's name for it is "bacterial SSU rRNA". It matches the Rfam family "Bacterial small subunit ribosomal RNA", at positions 28 to 524 of the family's 1533-position model. The record is from RNAcentral.